UUCAGAUACAAAUUCCCAAAGGACCUUGAAUAUAAGAAAGCAGGCUCUGAAUUUUUUCAAAUAUUUUUUUCAUGGCUUACUAUGGAAGAAUAUUGACCAUCAGACAUAAAUCUGAGCUGAAGAUAGAAACAGUGCAAGCUACAGGUGCUUCCAAAACCACAGAUUUCAGAUGGUGACUAAAUGAAUCAUGAAGUGUGGGGUGCAGAAACUUCACUGCUGCUUCUUUCUACAUUGAUCAAAUAAGGAAGGAAACGUGCUGAUUUCUGGGGAAAAAAAAGGAUGUUGCAGAGUUUACUCUGCCUGAGGGAUAAGAUGAUGGAUCAAGAGAGGAAGAGGAUGUAAAUACAGUCCCUGUGUCUUUCCUGAGCCAGAGUUCUCCGGACCCGAUGAAAGCCUUGGGGUCCCCCUGGAUCUAUGGUUCCUUUUGAAAAGGCAGGAGAUGAGGGCUGGAGACCCAGACACAGAUUGAUUUUCAGGUGCACAAAAGAGAGUCUGGAAUUUCUGGGUUACCAGAUCUUCAUGGAUGGAUCUAGGAGCCUGGAAGCUGAGGAGAACCCCUGGACAGAGCACCAGGAUGCUUCACAGAGCACACAGCCGGAGCAUCUCUGGGUGCUGGAGAACAAAGCAUCUGAAAUUUGGGAUGAAAAUAAAAGUGUCAUAAAGUGUUACUGUGGAGAAGGCAGGCUUGGCCAGAUUUUUAAAAACUUCCCAUAUCUUCUCUGCCUUUUGACAGCUUCUCAGAUAACUCACAUGGUCCCAAAAGACUUCUGAUCAUCAGAAGAGACAGGAACCAGAAAGAAGGCUGAAAUUACCUUUUCUUGGUGAUCACAACAUGCAUUUCAGAAGGAGGAACAAGAUAAGGGUUUUUGAAGGUUGUGCUACAAACCUCAGAGGUGGGGAUUGUGUAUUGGAGCACACAUGAAGGAAGAGAAAGGGAGACAAGCAGGAUGUCCUGAGAAGGGUAGCAGAGGUGACGUGGCUCACAAGGGAGAGGGAUGGCUUGGCAGCGGAAGGUGUUUUUGGUGAAUCUCAUGUAGCUGAUGUGAGACUGGUUGUGAGACUAGCUGCCAGCUCUCCCCAGCCUGAUGGAAGAGCCUCCAGUUCAUCUCUUUAGGUAAAGUUCUUUCUCUGGUUCACUGUGACGUACAACCAAAGCACAGGCUAAUUCAUAAGAAAGAAUUUGUCUCGUUUUUUUGUAAUAAUGCAGCCUUCAGUGAAAAUGAUGUGAAGAAAAUAUAAAACAUAAACAGAUUUUGAAGGCUUCAAAGUGGUAUCAAGCCAAGAACUUUAACACUAGCAGCUAGCCUCGCUUUGCUCUUUCAUACAGGUACAGUUGUAGCCCUGGCAGAAGACUUCAGAGCAUGCUGAUAUUUGUAGAAUGUCAGCUCUUCAGUGAGAGGCACCAUGUGUUUAUUUGUUUAAAUGACAGAGUAGUUUCAAUGUUGAUGAUGGGACAUGAAGCACUUGGAAAUACUCACACCAGGAAUACUUUGAUGUUGCUGAGUCUUAACUAAAGUGGGCUCAGGUUUUCUGAAAAAGCUUUGCCUGUGCACCUCAGCUGUAGCAUGAGGGAAACCAGACCACCCUCUAGUGGGAUGAGACUGCAUUUCAGCAUGAGAUGUGUUACUGCUUUAGCUGUGAAACCAUGUUUCUGUUUCCUUUUGCCUUGGAGAUUUUUUCAGAUGAAAGAUAAGAUCAGAUAUUUAUCUGUGCACGCAGUGUGGGAGGGCUCCUAUCCUAAAGGCUCCACAAACUUCCCCUGCUCAAGGGGUUUCUGAGUCAGAUGGUGAGACUUGGUGUCUUGAUACUGAAAAAAGGAGCUGCCUCUCCUAUGUCUUGGGUUCCAAAACAUUUAAAUUAAUUUAUCUGUUUCUUCUGUUCUUUUUGUCACAACAUCGGGUCUAAUUGACACAUGCAAAAUAACAGCAAGGAAUUGGUAGAAUAUGGGGGGAAGGAAUCAGCUUCAGAAGGAAAAAUCCGUAAAAGGCUGGGAGCUGAGCAGCUGAAGAACUAGGAAAAGGUUUUCUUAAUUCAAAUUGGCCACAUGAAAAAGAUAGUGAAAAAAUAUUUCAACAAGUGAGUUUAGAGGAAAAACUACCAUGAAUUGUUUAUUUCACAAUUAUUAUUUGGUACAGCCAGAGCUUCCUCAUUUAAGAAAAAUGCAUGGUAAAGCUCCAGAUGACACACCUCGGAAAAUUCCUCUGCCUGGACACGAGAGCAGCCAUCGGUCCCAGCAUCAGGCACACCUAGAGCACCAGCUCAUGCAGAAGCAAAGGAAGCACCACAAAGGCAAACAGGAGGUGCCAUGUCCUCCCCAGAGGCACGCAUGAAAGCUGCCACACGGCAUUUGAAGGCCAUGUUUCAGCCACAGAUGGCUGGCAAGGCCAAGCUUUGGCACACAGGGUCUGGGAGCAGGGGAGACUGGUGGGGUGCAGUGGCAGCUUUGCUCCGGGAGGAAAGUGAAGGUCUGCCGUGGAGGGGGGCUCACUGUAGUUUCCACUUCAGUCAGCCAGCAUUUGCUGCUCCCCUGCCUGUAAAUCUCCUCCUAGGCCCUAAGCUUUCAAGAAAAUAAACUGUGUUUUUGUCUCCA
Long non-coding RNA from Junco hyemalis (dark-eyed junco), 2590 nucleotides. NCBI's taxonomy places the organism in Eukaryota, Metazoa, Chordata, Aves, Passeriformes, Passerellidae. The record is from Ensembl.